UCGAAAAAAAAAAGAGCUUGCCUGCUCAAACUAACUUCUCUUCUCUCUUACAAAAAAAAUCAAGUUCUUCCUCUUCUUUCACAUCAAGAACUCUUUCUCUAUCUUCUUGUUUCAUCUUCAACACCAAUAACGAGUAGCUUCACCUUUGAUAAUUUCUGAAGGAAAUGGAUGGCGAGGUAUCAAGAACCUGGGAGAUAACAGAAGAUUCGGAGCAGAUUGAUUUGCCACCUGGCUUUAGAUUUCACCCAACAGAUGAAGAACUCAUAAGUUACUAUCUGAGACCAAAGGUUCUAAACACCUUCUUCUCCGCUAUAGCCAUUGGUGAAGUUGAUCUCAAUAAGGUUGAACCAUGGGACAUACCAUGUAAGUUUAGCUCUUUUUUUACUUUCUGUAUAUUUCUAUGUUUUUUUUCGUUUAAUCAUUGUUUUCAUGGUGGAACAGGGAAGGCUAAGAUUGGGGAAAAAGAGUGGUACUUCUUCUGCGUAAGAGAUCGGAAAUACCCGACUGGUUUAAGGACGAACCGGGCUACUAAGGCCGGUUAUUGGAAAGCUACAGGCAAAGACAAAGAGAUCUUCAAAGAAAAAUGUAUUGUUGGUAUGAAGAAAACUUUGGUUUUCUACAAAGGAAGAGCUCCUAAAGGAGUAAAAACCAAUUGGGUCAUGCACGAAUAUCGCUUAGAAGGCAAAUAUGCAAUCGACAAUAAUCCUAAAACUGCUAAGGUAAGGUAACAAUGUAAUAACAGUUACAAAAAAAAAAGAAAAAAAAAGAAGAAGGUAACAAUGUAAUAGUUACAGUAACUGACCUUUGAUACACAUCACACUUGUUGCUCAAGUGACACGCUAUCUUACAUAAUAGUUUGUUACGUAUGUUACAUGCAAAAACAUCUCUUAUUUAUGGUUUUGUCACCAUAUUACAAAUUUAAACGUUAUAUUGCAUACUUGUGUGUAAUUUUUUUUUCUUUUGUUGUGAAGUUGGAUUUGAUAUAUGAAUGUGUUGUUGUUUGUGAAUGCAGAACGAAUGGGUUAUUAGUAGAAUUUUUCAGAAACAUGCAGAUGGUAAGAAGAUGCAUAUCUCCAGUUUAAUGAAGCUCGGUUCAGGGAUCAACCAUAUUGAACCGGUCGGUUUACCUCCCCUGAUGGAUUCUUCUCCAUACCUCAAGAGCGGAGGAGGAGACACUUUCGCCGGGUCGUUGUCUCACGUGACAUGCUUCUCCGACCAAACAACCGAGGACAAGAGUCACCUCUCCGAGUCAAGAGAUGAAUGUAACUUUACCAUGUUUGGUUCUUCAUCGACUCACUUGAUGAUACCGAACAUUGGUUCUAUACUACACUCUGAUCCUAUGAUUAUGCAAGAUAAUUCUCCAAUAUUGAAGAUAAUGCUUGACAGUGAAGAAACACAGUUUAAGAAAGAUCUCCAGGAUUUCAGUACAUCGGAGAACGAAUUAACCGCGAGUUCUUGGCACGGUCACGAUAUUUCUGGUUCAGCUUCCUCUUCUUUCACAUCAAGAACUCUUUCUCUAUCUUCUUGUUUCAUCUUCAACACCAAUAACGAGUAGCUUCACCUUUGAUAAUUUCUGAAGGAAAUGGAUGGCGAGGUAUCAAGAACCUGGGAGAUAACAGAAGAUUCGGAGCAGAUUGAUUUGCCACCUGGCUUUAGAUUUCACCCAACAGAUGAAGAACUCAUAAGUUACUAUCUGAGACCAAAGGUUCUAAACACCUUCUUCUCCGCUAUAGCCAUUGGUGAAGUUGAUCUCAAUAAGGUUGAACCAUGG
This 1771-nucleotide long non-coding RNA is filed under the name Brassica napus (rape). RNAcentral describes it as "long non-coding RNA (BNAP_LNC007306)". Lineage: Eukaryota; Viridiplantae; Streptophyta; Magnoliopsida; Brassicales; Brassicaceae. The record is from RNAcentral.